This 429-nucleotide ribosomal RNA is filed under the name Chloroflexota bacterium. RNAcentral describes it as "Chloroflexi bacterium partial 16S ribosomal RNA". It matches the Rfam family "Bacterial small subunit ribosomal RNA", at positions 355 to 776 of the family's 1533-position model. The record is from RNAcentral. Lineage: Bacteria; Bacillati; Chloroflexota.
UGGGGAAUAUUGCACAAUGGGCGCAAGCCUGAUGCAGCCAUGCCGCGUGUAUCAAGAAGGCCUUCGGGUUUUACAGUACUUUCAGCGGGGAGGAAGGGAGUAAAGUUAAUACCUUUGCUCAUUGACGUUACCCGCAGAAGAAGCACCGGCUAACUCCGUGCCAGCAGCCGCGGUAAUACGGAGGGUGCAAGCGUUAAUCGGAAUUACUGUGCGUAAAGCGCACGCAGGCGGUUUGUUAAUUCAGAUGUGAAAUCCCCGGGCUCAACCUGGGAAAUGCAUCUGAUACUGGCAAGCGUGAGUCUCGUAGAGGGGGGUAGAAUUCCAGGUGUAGCCGUGAAAUGCGUAGAGAUCUGGAGGAAUACCGGUGGCGAAGGCGGCCCCCUGGACGAAGACUGACGCUCAGGUGCGAAAGCGUGGGGAGCAAACAGG